This 440-nucleotide ribosomal RNA is filed under the name uncultured bacterium. RNAcentral describes it as "partial 16S ribosomal RNA". It matches the Rfam family "Bacterial small subunit ribosomal RNA", at positions 338 to 795 of the family's 1533-position model. The record is from RNAcentral.
CCUACGGGUGGCAGCAGUGGGGAAUAUUGCACAAUGGGCGAAACCCUGAUGCAGCCACGCCGCGUGAGUGAAGAAGGAUCUCGGUAUGUAAAGCUCUUUCAGUAGGGGAGUAAAUGACGGUACCUGUCUAAGUAGCCAUGGCUAUUACCGUGCCAGCAGCCGCGGUAAUACGGAGGGGGCAAGCGUUAUCCGGAUUUACUGGGGGUAAAGGGAGCGUAGGCGGUCGCACAAGUCAGGAGUGAAAUCCCUGGGCUUAACCCCGGAACUGCCUUUGAAACUGUGCGGCUGGAGUGUAGGAGAGGUAGGCGGAAUGCCUGGUGUAGCGGUGAAAUGCGUAGAUAUUAGGAGGAACACCGGUGGCGAAGGCGGCUUACUGGGCUAUGACUGACGUUGAGGCGCGAAAGCGUGGGGAGCAAACAGGAUUAGAUACCCCAGUAGUC